Molecule: unclassified non-coding RNA, 251 nt
Filed under: uncultured Ascomycota
Lineage: Eukaryota; Fungi; Ascomycota
Description: sequence contains 5.8S rRNA gene
Rfam family: 5.8S ribosomal RNA (bases 1-53)
Source: RNAcentral
GAACGCACAUUGCGCCCCUUGGUAUUCCAUGGGGCAUGCCUGUUCGAGCGUCAUUUGUAUCUUCAAGCUCUGCUUGGUGUUGGGUGUUUGUCUCGCUUUGUGCGUGGACUCGCCUUAAAGCAAUUGGCAGCCGGCGUACUAGUCUGGGAGCGCAGCACAAUUUGCGCCUCUGAACCUGAACGCUUGCGUCCAUGAAGUCUAUACUUUUGCUUUUGACCUCGGAUCAGGUAGGACCACCCGCUGAACUUAAG